AAUAAAAUGCCUGAUUAAAGGGAUAUCGUGAUAGGAUAUAUAAUGUAAUAUCAAUUACUUUUAUUA
This 66-nucleotide transfer RNA is filed under the name Mantidae JZ-2017. RNAcentral describes it as "tRNA-Ile". The record is from RNAcentral. Lineage: Eukaryota; Metazoa; Arthropoda; Insecta; Mantodea; Mantidae.